CUCACUCUGACCCUUCUUUUUAUGAGAUCCUCAGUGGCUAUGGGAGACUGCUCGUUGUCAUCCAAUUUCUGUUCUUCCAUCCUUCUAGAGUAUAACAGUUUAGCAGGCGGCAUGGACAUCUGGCUAAAGACUACAUUCCCAGCCUGCCUUGCAGUAGGUGUGGUCACGUGACUAGGAGAUGACAAGAACUGGACAGUCUCCUUGGGCGCAGAGCUGGCAAACACAUGCUGAGGAUACGGAGCUGAACCGACAGGCCUGAACCGACAGAUGACCUCUGGACUGUCACGGAGGAAAGAGAUCAACUUCUGUCUUGGCAUUGAAUCUGACACUGGGGACUUAAAAACAGGGAACACGUGGCCCUGGAUCUCAGGGUACCUGCAGUCCAAUGGAAAAGAAAAAGACUUGGGUGGACUAUUUCUGUAUAAUGAAUGUGGCACUUGAUUUUAAAAGGGUAGGAAAGUCAGGCCAACAGAAGCUAAGCCAUGUUCCCAAGACCCUGUACUGCGCAGCAGACGCAGGAUUCAAAUUUAGGAUUGUCUGACUCCAGAGCCUGCCUUUUAUCAACUGAUCCCAAAAUAAGAAAUGAGUUGAUCUUCAGAGUGGGGGUUUUUUCUUCCCUCAGGUCUUUUGCCUGGAACACAAACCACCUGGAAUCUGGAAACAGCUAAGAGAAAGAGCUUAUAAAACACUCUUUAUAAAACUGUGCAUUGUGUCAGUCUCAGAGACAGAAUGCCUCCUGUUAACAAUAUGGAAAAAGAAGCCAAGAUUAUGCUGAAAGCUGUUUCCUUUCCCCGUUCCUUUGGGGAGCUACUUCUCCCCAAGACAAUGUAGGUCGGGGGGCUGGGUCACAGUGCUUUGCCUCUUGAGGAGGUGGUGGUGACAUGGCCAGUCACGGUACCCUAUCCCUCCCGCCCACCUGAGGAGGAGCACGUGAUCAAGCAUUGCCAUCCAGCUCAUCUACGAUUUCACAUGUCCCUGCUGGGGGAAAGAGAAGCUCCCUCUGCCCCGCUGGGCAUCAAGCCAUGGAGGCCGGGGCUGAGGCUGGGCAUUCUCCUGGCGGGAGAGCAUAGUCUUCAGCCCGACAGGAACCGAUGAUGCCCAAGAGAGCCAAGCUACAAUGACAGAGGAGAGGUGGAGAGAUUCCGACCUCAUCCGUCCCUGAGCCCACCCCAUCUGCCUCUUCUAACGAUAGAAGCAAUAAACAAACAAACAAACAAAUAAAACCUCCUUUAUCCUAA
This is a long non-coding RNA of Pteropus alecto (black flying fox), 1238 nucleotides long. RefSeq lists it as uncharacterized. The record is from RefSeq and is a predicted model, not a curated record. The transcript is spliced from 4 exons. Lineage: Eukaryota; Metazoa; Chordata; Mammalia; Chiroptera; Pteropodidae.